CUCACCCAAGCCAGUAUCUGUGCCAGCACUAGAGUCCUGACAGUGCCCCCACCUCAGACAGCUAGGCUCACAGGCCACACGGUGUCCCUCUCUGCAAAAACCCUGAAGGAGGAAGCAGCUCACAAAGAAUUCAGAGUUUUGACAUGAAGUCCUUAGAAAAAUGCCCUUUUAUCCAGAUCUUAAGGAACUAGAUAUAGAGAAAUUUGCUUAACACGCUAGGUUACGAAAAGGUAUCUCAGUAGAAGUCUGUUAACUAGACUUUUCUUGUUUCCUAACAAAAAUAUGAGGUUUUUAAAAAAUUAGAGCUUUACUUAAAUUCCUUAAGCACAUCUAUAUUCUGUGAAAUAACGGAGUGUGGGGAUUUGAAACAAAUGUUGGAAGAGAUUUCAUGAAAACAAGUCUACCCUUCGGCCUCAGGAAUGACUAGAUGGGGGCCACCUCAGUGACCCACAAAGAACAAAGACGGGGAGACUGGGGUAGGGUGAUAUAUUCAAGGAAGCUUAAUGCUUGCUGUUUUAUGGUUCUAGCGAGAACCUCUUGACAUCCUUUGAACCCAAGUGUCCGAUUUCAACAGCAACCAUCAGCAUUUGUCACCCACAAUUCAGUGUGGGCUGGAGCCUCCUAAUCCAUCUACUUGGACCUUGCCACUACCUCUGCUUAGGGCCACUAAUUGCCUAAAACAUUAUCUGUUGCUGCACUCACAUAGUGCCCCAAGACCCCAAAGGUGUAUUCUCCUCCCUUUCUCAGCACAAAGCUGCUGUGAGGAGAUACCACCCUAUGCCUCCAUGACAGUGCUGUGUGAACUGGCCCUUCCCUCCCUCUGCCUCGUUUUCUUCUUGGAUCCCAGACACAAAUAAGAAUAAA
RNAcentral lists this long non-coding RNA (864 nucleotides) under Marmota monax (woodchuck). The record is from RNAcentral. Lineage: Eukaryota; Metazoa; Chordata; Mammalia; Rodentia; Sciuridae.